UACAGAGGUCCCAAGCGUUGUUCGGAUUCACUGGGCGUAAAGGGUGCGUAGGUGGUCGGGUAAGUCUGAUGUGAAAUCUCCGAGCUCAACUCGGAAAUGGCAUUGGAUACUAUUCGGCUAGAGGAUUGGAGGGGGGACUGGAAUACUUGGUGUAGCAGUGAAAUGCGUAGAUAUCAAGUGGAACACCAGUGGCGAAGGCGAGUCCCUGGACAGAUCCUGACGCUGAGGCACGAAAGCUAGGGGAGCAAACAGG
RNAcentral lists this ribosomal RNA (253 nucleotides) under uncultured bacterium. RNAcentral describes it as "partial 16S ribosomal RNA". It matches the Rfam family "Bacterial small subunit ribosomal RNA", at positions 524 to 776 of the family's 1533-position model. The record is from RNAcentral.